GAUAUACACAGAGAACCACGUGGAGGAAAAGCACGCGAGUUUGGAGCGGGUGGAGCAGGAACAGAGGUGGACUGGAAUGUCACACGACGGGGCAGCUGGAAGGGCACCACUGAGUUCAGUACUUCAAAAUUGCCGUGCUCUACCUCUCCCCAGUGCACAAAAACACUCUCCACACCAAGCUGCUGCUGCUGGGGGAUGGAGGGAUGGCGUCAGCGAUUCAAGACUGUUUUUCCUACCUGUUCAGCACUUCUUUCAGCGAUAUGAAGUUAAAUCCAGCUCACAGGUCCCUGAGUGAAGAGGAGCCACCCCUGAGGAGUUGUACCCAAGGAGACUCAGCCACAGCCAGACCUACUGCACAUUUUGAGAUCAUGGUCUUGGAGCCUGAUGUCGUGAUUGGGUGCUUUGGGAAGGGUGGGUGUAUUUUACAAGUGGGAGGACAGAGCAUCUUUAGGAGUAGAGAGCAAACUGUGGUGGAGUGCCACAUUAAUGCCCUCAGCCAGUCAUGCCUCUUUCACACUGACUCUGGCUUGGCCAUAAGACAUGUUUUGGCCAACAGGAGUUCAGCAAACGUGGUGCAAGCGAUUUCCUCAGUGCUUGCCAUCUUAGGCAAGGACCCCGGGGCUCUGUGAGGAAGCUCGAGCUGGUCACAGUGGAGAGACCUGAACAGAAGUGCUGUGGCUACCAUCCCCCGCCCCAAUCUGGGAGCUGCCCAUCACUGAGUGAGCCUUUCCAGGAUCACCCAGUGUCCAGCCCACUUGUCACCUGGCCACACAUGCAGGAGUGAGCCCAGCAAAUCCCGUAUGGAGCUGUUCCCUGACCAAACUGCUGACCCACAGAAAAGCUGCCUUUGGUUACUAGUUGGGGUGAUUUGUUACAGAACAAUAGCUAACUAAGAAACCAGGCGAGGAGAGGGGAGAGGAUCUAAGACAGAGGAGGCAGCGUGAGCAAAGGAACAGAAAUACAGCAAAGCAAAGCAGAGGCAGGAAAAAACAGGCAGUUUUAUUUCUCGUGGCGGUGAAGGCUGAGAGAGGAUGAUGGAGAAAUGGGGAAGAGGCAGUCGAGGAAGUCCUUGUCUGUCUGGACUUGGAUAAUGAGGCAUCAUGACAGGCUUACAGGAAGAGUGUGAAAUGGCUGGAUAGGUGUAUUUUUUAGAAGGAUUACUCUGGGAGGUUGGGUGCAGUGGCUCAUGCCUGUAAUCCCAGCACUUCAAUAGGCUGAGAUGGGCAGAUCACCUGAGGUCAGGAGUUCCAGACCAGCCUGGCCAAUGUGGCAAAACCCCAUCUCUCCUAAAAAUACAAACAUUAGCCAGUUGAGGUGACAGGCGCCUGUAGUCCCAGCUACUCGGGAGGCUGAGACACAAGGAUCACUUGAACCUGGGAGGCGGAGGUUGUAGUUAGCUGAGAUCGCACCACUGCACUCCAGCCUGGGCGACAGAGUGAGACUCUGUCUCAAAAAAAAAAAAAUUUAAAAAAAAAAAA
Molecule: long non-coding RNA, 1478 nt
Organism: Homo sapiens (human)
Lineage: Eukaryota; Metazoa; Chordata; Mammalia; Primates; Hominidae
Gene: USP2-AS1
Product: USP2 antisense RNA 1
Source: Ensembl